AACGCACAUUGCGCCCCUUGGUAUUCCGAGGGGCAUGCCUGUUCGAGCGUCAUUAUGACCACUCAAGCCUAGCUUGGUAUUGGGGUUCGCGUGCUCGCGGCCCUUAAAAUCAGUGGCGGUGCCGUCUGGCUCUAAGCGUAGUAACUACUCUCGCUAUUGAGUCCGGGCGGUUGCUUGCCAAAAUCCCCCACUUUCUUAGGUUGACCUCGGAUCAGGUAGGGAUACCCGCUGAACUUAA
Molecule: unclassified non-coding RNA, 238 nt
Filed under: Tomentella sp.
Lineage: Eukaryota; Fungi; Basidiomycota; Agaricomycetes; Thelephorales; Thelephoraceae
Description: partial contains 5.8S ribosomal RNA, internal transcribed spacer 2, and large subunit ribosomal RNA
Rfam family: 5.8S ribosomal RNA (bases 1-52)
Source: RNAcentral